Podarcis lilfordi (Lilford's wall lizard) is the source of this 74-nucleotide non-coding RNA. Lineage: Eukaryota; Metazoa; Chordata; Lepidosauria; Squamata; Lacertidae. The record is from the annotation of a GenBank genome assembly.
ACCUGGGAUAGCUUAGUGAGUAUAGCAUGAGACUCUUAAUCUCAGGGUUGUGGUUUCGAGUGCCAACUUAGGCA